This 429-nucleotide ribosomal RNA is filed under the name Chloroflexota bacterium. RNAcentral's name for it is "Chloroflexi bacterium partial 16S ribosomal RNA". It matches the Rfam family "Bacterial small subunit ribosomal RNA", at positions 355 to 776 of the family's 1533-position model. The record is from RNAcentral. RNAcentral also lists the same sequence under 1 other name. Lineage: Bacteria; Bacillati; Chloroflexota.
UAGGGAAUCUUCGGCAAUGGACGAAAGUCUGACCGAGCAACGCCGCGUGAGUGAAGAAGGUUUUCGGAUCGUAAAACUCUGUUGUUAGAGAAGAACAAGGACGUUAGUAACUGAACGUCCCCUGACGGUAUCUAACCAGAAAGCCACGGCUAACUACGUGCCAGCAGCCGCGGUAAUACGUAGGUGGCAAGCGUUGUCCGGAUUUAUUGGGCGUAAAGCGAGCGCAGGCGGUUUCUUAAGUCUGAUGUGAAAGCCCCCGGCUCAACCGGGGAGGGUCAUGGGAAACUGGGAGACUUGAGUGCAGAAGAGGAGAGUGGAAUUCCAUGUGUAGCGGUGAAAUGCGUAGAUAUAUGGAGGAACACCAGUGGCGAAGGCGGCUCUCUGGUCUGUAACUGACGCUGAGGCGCGAAAGCGUGGGGAGCAAACAGG